Molecule: unclassified non-coding RNA, 1190 nt
Filed under: uncultured Bordetella sp.
Lineage: Bacteria; Pseudomonadati; Pseudomonadota; Betaproteobacteria; Burkholderiales; Alcaligenaceae
Description: partial 16S-23S ribosomal RNA intergenic spacer
Rfam family: Bacterial small subunit ribosomal RNA
Source: RNAcentral
GGUUCGAUUCUGUCAGAUUGAACGCUGGCGGGAUGUUUACACAUGCAAGUCGAACGGCAGCACGGACUUCGGUCUGGUGGCGAGUGGCGAACGGGUGAGUAAUGUAUCGGAACGUGCCUAGUAACGGGAUACGCGAAAGCGUAGCUAAUACCGCAUACGCCUUCGGGGGAAAGCGGGGACCUUUCGGGCCUCGCACUAUUAGAGCGGCCGAUAUCGGAUUAGCUAGUUGGUGGGGUAACGGCUCACCAAGGCGACGAUCCGUAGCUGGUUUGAGAGGACGACCAGCCACACUGGGACUGAGACACGGCCCAGACUCCUACGGAGGCAGCAGUGGGAAUUUUGGACAAUGGGGGAAACCCCUGAUCCAGCCAUCCCGCGUGUGCGAUGAAGGCCUUCGCUUAAAGCACCUUUGGCAGGAAAAGAAACGGCACGGGAUAAUACCCCGUGCAACUGACGGUACUUGCAGAAUAAGCACCGGCUAACUACGUGCCAGCAGCCGCGGUAAUACGUAGGGUGCAAGCGUUAAUCGGAAUUACUGGGCGUAAAAGCGUGCGCAGGCGGUUCGGAAAGAAAGAUGCGGAAAUCCCAGAGCUUAACUUUGAACUGCAUUUUUAACUACUGAGCUAGAGUGUGUCAGAGGGAGGUGGAAUUCCGCGUAGCAGUGAAAUGUAGAUAUGCGGAGGAACACCGAUGGCGAAGGCAGCCUCCUGGGAUAACACUGACGCUCAUGCACGAAAGCGUGGGGAGCAAACAGGAUUAGAUACUCCUGGUGUCCACGCCCUAAACGAUGUCAACUAGCUGUUGGGGCCUUCGGGCCUUGGUAGCGCAGCUAACGCGUGAAGUUGACCGCCUGGGGAGUACGGUCGUAAGAUUAAAACUCAAAGGAAUUGACGGGACCCGCACAAGCGGUGGAUGAUGUGGACACCCGAUGCAACGCGAAAACCUUACCUACCCUUGACAUGUCUGGAAUCCCCGGAAGAGAUUUGGGAGUGCUCGCAAGAGAACCGGAACACAGGUGUUGGGGUAUGGCUGUCGUCAGCUCGUGUCGUGAGAUGCUGGGUUAAGUCCCGCAACGAGCGUGCAACCCUUGUCAUUAGUUGCUACGAAAGGGCACUCUAAUGAGACUCGCCGGUACAAACCGAGGAAGGUGGGGAUGACGUCAAGUCCUCAUGGCCUAUGGGUAGGGCUUC